Long non-coding RNA from Cynoglossus semilaevis (tongue sole), 680 nucleotides. RefSeq lists it as uncharacterized. The transcript is spliced from 4 exons. NCBI's taxonomy places the organism in Eukaryota, Metazoa, Chordata, Actinopteri, Pleuronectiformes, Cynoglossidae. The record is from RefSeq and is a predicted model, not a curated record.
CUCACCACCUGCAGGAAGGUUCAGGGGGGUUGGUACGGUGCAGUGUGAUUUGGGUGGCGGUCAUGGAGACCGCUGCCCCCACAAGUUCUUUUUCUGGACAAGGAGAAAGUGCUGGAGAGACUUGACCAGCCCAGGCACCAGGUGUGGGGAGUGAGACUAACGAACAGGACACAGGUGAGGGAGAUCACUCCAAUUCCCAGAGACAGACAGUUUGACAGGAAUGACCGGUGGACUGAGUCAGACCACAUGUCAUGCAGCUCUCGGGAAAAGGCCAACACAAAGCUACCCAUAAUCCCGUGGUGCUGCCUCCACACCUUUCUCUGACACUGAAGACUCGAUGUCCACACGUUGGGCUGUACUCACCAGGUUGCGAACGUCGGGCACAGUGAGCCAUAGUGGGAGUACGAUGGGCAACAGUAACAGUGAUUCUUUUUUUCCAUCUUUAUCAUCAUCAUCAGAGCUGUCCUCACUCUCAGAAUAGUCACUGCUGUGUUUGUCGUUGGCGCUGCUGUUUGAGCGAUCUGAACUGCCUGCUGCUGCCCCCUACAGGAUGAGAGGUGCAUGGCUCAGCAGUAUCGCCCCCUGGUGGACUAGCAGCAUCAGCAGAGCCCUGCUCAGACUUUUGCUUUUGAUCAUCAUCUGAAUAAAAAAGGAAAAUGGAUAAAGUCUGGGACAAAAAU